This 1286-nucleotide long non-coding RNA is filed under the name Felis catus (domestic cat). RNAcentral's name for it is "lncRNA (ENSFCAG00000053161.1)". The record is from RNAcentral. Lineage: Eukaryota; Metazoa; Chordata; Mammalia; Carnivora; Felidae.
UCAGUCGGUUAAGCGUCCGACCUCGGCUCAGGUCAUGAUCUCACAGUUCGUGAGUUGGAGCCCCGCGUCGGGCUCUGUGCUGACAGAUCCUGUGUCUCCGUUUCUCUCUGCCCCUCCCCUGCUCAUGCUCUGUCUUGUAAAAAAUAUAAAAAAUAAGCUGAAAAAAAAUUAUUUAAUUAAAUGGUUAAGAUAGUAAAUUAAAGAAAGAAAGAAAGAAAGAAAGAAAGAAAGAAAGACAAUGUCUACGCCAUCAGCUAAUAUGAGAAUCUAAUGUGGCAAUUGUGCACGAUGUGUCCAGCAGGUAAUAGAAACCGAGUGCCUCAUAGUGGCUAUUGUCACGGUGCUGAUGGGGGUUGUGAAUGUUCUGUCAGAGCUUUGGAGGGCUGCGGGGGGGGGGGGGGCCACGGGGGGGGGAGGGCUAAUCCCCUCCUGGGAAGGGCCAGGGAGGACUGCCUUCCAGGCUAAGCACUGGAGAAGGAGGCCUGGGAAGAGGUAGACAAUCCAGGCUGGGAGCCUAGUGAGCUUGGAGGCCUGAGGCCCGGCCUUUCCCCGUGAAACAUGGCCGGAGGGGAGAUGGGCCUCCCAGAGCCCCGCAUCCCGAAUCCCUUGGGCCAGCUGCCAAGCAGUGGGCUGACAUUUGAGGCCAAGGAUGUGGAAGACACAAUGACCUGACUCAGCCUAUCUCUAGAGUGAAGAGAAUGAUUUAAUGCUGAUGCUCGCUCCAGGCUGACACGUUGCUUUCAGCUGGAAACAAGGGAGCAAGUCUGCAGCAGACGAAGUCAGCUCGUCUCAGAAGAAAGGAGUUCCCGUGGGGCUCUGCGCACUUUCCUCAAGGCCUCAGUCUACCCGACAGGCGACACACACACUCGACAUUUCCCCAGGAGCUGUGCUGCUACGUUUUUGCUCCUGGCCGACGGAGGAGCCCUGCGCCCGGAAGAGCAGCCCCCCAGCCUUUAGACAUCACCGAAGCAGAACCUUCUCCCACAUCCUUCCAGAUCCCGGCCGGGUUCGGGAAGCAUUCACGGUCCCUCCCGGACGCCACAAGGCCAGAGUUUCCGUCUGUUUUGUUUGCCACAAAGACCCUGUAUCCAGACAGCACCUGACACACAGCGACACUCAAUAAUUUUUAAUGAGAUAAACUAUUCAGGGGAUGUUAGCUCCGGAGAAGUGUCCAUGACUGUUCCUGCCUCCGCCCGGCUGACCGGCUGACCUGGCCCGUUCCCCAGGCGAGGACGACGUCGUCCGGGGAGCUGGGGCAUCGCUGGUCCUGACCCAACACCCAGGGC